This 1402-nucleotide ribosomal RNA is filed under the name uncultured bacterium. RNAcentral describes it as "bacterial SSU rRNA". It matches the Rfam family "Bacterial small subunit ribosomal RNA". The record is from RNAcentral.
GAGUUUGAUCAUGGCUCAGGACGAACGCUGGCGGCGUGCUUAACACAUGCAAGUCGAACGGAAAGGCCCCCACCUUGGUGGGGGUGCUCGAGUGGCGAACGGGUGAGUAACACGUGGGUGAUCUGCCCUGUACUUCGGGAUAAGCUUGGGAAACUGGGUCUAAUACCGGAUAGGACCAUGGUUUAGUGUCUCAUGGUGGAAAGAUUAUUGUUUUGGUGCAGGAUGAGCUCGCGGCCUAUCAGCUUGUUGGUGGGGUAAUGGCCUACCAAGGCGUCGACGGGUAGCCGGCCUGAGAGGGUGGACGGCCACAUUGGGACUGAGAUACGGCCCAGACUCCUACGGGAGGCAGCAGUGGGGAAUAUUGCACAAUGGGCGCAAGCCUGAUGCAGCGACGCCGCGUGGGGGAUGACGGCCUUCGGGUUGUAAACUCCUUUCGUUAGGGACGAAGCCGCACCUUUUUUUGGGUGUGGUGACGGUACCUUUGUUAAGAAGCACCGGCUAACUACGUGCCAGCAGCCGCGGUAAUACGUAGGGUGCGAGCGUUGUCCGGAAUUACUGGGCGUAAAGAGCUCGUAGGUGGUUUGUUGCGUCGUCUGUGAAAUUCCGGGGCUUAACUUCGGGGUGGCAGGCGAUACGGGCAUAACUAGAGUGCUGUAGGGGAGACUGGAAUUCCUGGUGUAGCGGUGGAAUGCGCAGAUAUCAGGAGGAACACCGAUGGCGAAGGCAGGUCUCUGGGCAGUAACUGACGCUGAGGAGCGAAAGCAUGGGGAGCGAACAGGAUUAGAUACCCUGGUAGUCCAUGCUGUAAACGGUGGGCGUUAGGUGUGGGGACCGGUUUGGUUUCUGUGCCGUAGCUAACGCAUUAAGCGCCCCGCCUGGGGAGUACGGCCGCAAGGCUAAAACUCAAAGGAAUUGACGGGGGCCCGCACAAGCGGCGGAGCAUGUGGAUUAAUUCGAUGCAACGCGAAGAACCUUACCUGGGUUUGACAUGCACCAGACGGUUGUAGAGAUACGUACCUCCCUUUGUGGUUGGUGUGCAGGUGGUGCAUGGUUGUCGUCAGCUCGUGUCGUGAGAUGUUGGGUUAAGUCCCGCAACGAGCGCAACCCUUGUCUUAUGUUGCCAGCACGUUUGGGUGGGGACUCAUGAGAGACUGCCGGGGUUAACUCGGAGGAAGGUGGGGAUGACGUCAAAUCAUCAUGCCCUUUAUGCCCAGGGCUUCACACAUGCUACAAUGGUUAGUACAACGCGCAGUAAACCUGUGAGGGUGAGCGAAUCGCUGAAAGCUAAUCUCAGUUCGGAUUGGGGUCUGCAACUCGACCCCAUGAAGUCGGAGUCGCUAGUAAUCGCAGAUCAGCAAUGCUGCGGUGAAUACGUUCCCGGGCCUUGCACACACCGCCCGUC